Molecule: ribosomal RNA, 192 nt
Filed under: uncultured Pseudomonas sp.
Lineage: Bacteria; Pseudomonadati; Pseudomonadota; Gammaproteobacteria; Pseudomonadales; Pseudomonadaceae
Description: partial 16S ribosomal RNA
Rfam family: Bacterial small subunit ribosomal RNA
Source: RNAcentral
CCUACGGGAGGCAGCAGUGGGGAAUAUUGGACAAUGGGCGAAAGCCUGAUCCAGCCAUGCCGCGUGUGUGAAGAAGGUCUUCGGAUUGUAAAGCACUUUAAGUUGGGAGGAAGGGCAGUAAGUUAAUACCUUGCUGUUUUGACGUUACCAACAGAAUAAGCACCGGCUAACUUCGUGCCAGCAGCCGCGGUA